Small nucleolar RNA from Nycticebus coucang (slow loris), 100 nucleotides. RefSeq annotates it as small nucleolar RNA U13. The record is from RefSeq and is a predicted model, not a curated record. The transcript has a single exon. NCBI's taxonomy places the organism in Eukaryota, Metazoa, Chordata, Mammalia, Primates, Lorisidae.
AUCCUUCUGUAGUCAUAAGAGUGACAACUGGGUUUUGACACUGUGUGAGAUAUGCCUUCUUUAUACCUUGUUACAAUGUCAGCUCAUUAACUGUCUGGCA